This 253-nucleotide ribosomal RNA is filed under the name uncultured bacterium. RNAcentral describes it as "partial 16S ribosomal RNA". It matches the Rfam family "Bacterial small subunit ribosomal RNA", at positions 524 to 776 of the family's 1533-position model. The record is from RNAcentral.
UACAGAGGUCUCAACCGUUGUUCGGAUUCAUUGGGCGUAAAGGGUGCGUAGGCGGUCGCGCAAGUCGGAUGUGAAAUCUUAGGGCUCAACCCUGAAACUGCAUUCGAUACUGCGUGGCUCGAGUACUGGAGAGGAGACUGGAAUUUACGGUGUAGCAGUGAGAUGCGUAGAUAUCGUAAGGAAGACCAGUGGCGAAGGCGAGUCUCUGGACAGUUACUGACGCUGAGGCACGAAGGCCAGGGGAGCAAACGGG